Calidris pugnax (ruff) is the source of this 372-nucleotide long non-coding RNA. RefSeq lists it as uncharacterized. The record is from RefSeq and is a predicted model, not a curated record. NCBI's taxonomy places the organism in Eukaryota, Metazoa, Chordata, Aves, Charadriiformes, Scolopacidae. The transcript is spliced from 2 exons.
UCCUUUUGCCGUUGCAGCAGCUUCUGGUGGAGAAGAAGGAAGAGGCAUCCAUCGUGCGUGGAAGGAACCGCCAGGCAGGAGCGAGGAGAAGAGGAGUGGGGAGUGGCAGCGGACUGAAGAAGGGGCACAAGAACGGCACUCCUGGGAAGGCACCUUCCUGUCUCCAGCGCUGUGGUCACAUAAAGCAUCCCUGGCCCUUUGGGGAUGUUUUCUGUGCCUCUGGAGCAGCAUCUGCACAGGGGAGGAAGCUGCUGGACCUCAGCCUCUGGAAGAAGACGUUCCUCCUCUCUGUCCUGAAACAGCUUCUGCCCCCGCCCUUUUCCCAGCUCUUCAGUGCUGAGGGCACUCAAUAAAAUGCUUUCUCCAACAAUA